RNAcentral lists this long non-coding RNA (1096 nucleotides) under Elaeis guineensis (African oil palm). RNAcentral describes it as "long non-coding RNA (EGUI_LNC023842)". Lineage: Eukaryota; Viridiplantae; Streptophyta; Magnoliopsida; Arecales; Arecaceae. The record is from RNAcentral.
UGCGGUUGGCCUCUCCCCUCUUAAUGCCAUCGUAUGCUCUCCUCACCCACCUUGCACACUUCCCUAUCCUCUCACUGACAUCUUCUCCCAGUCUUCCUCUCCUCUCACUCUUCACCUACUCCAUUGCCACCAUUAGUACCUGUCUAAUAGUGCGAGAAGAGAGCAUCUAUGCUUUGCUUUGCCGCCUCUUGGGUGGAGCAAUGAGUUGGCAUCACAAUUCACACCAAGCUUUGUUUUUUUGCCCGCUUUGUGAGAGUUUUGUUAGCAAGUUUAACCUCUCUCUGUCACAUGGCUUCUAUUUUUUUUAUUAAUGACUCUUUAAGUGGAGAAGGGCGACAUGUGAGGAGUCUCUCUCUCUCUCUCUCUCCAUCUCUUUCUUUGGCUCUCUCUCCAAUCCCAUGCGCCUAUCUCCUCACAGCCUUUGAGGGAUGACCCAUCCCACUUUAAAAAGAGUGAAGUAUUUGUGCUGCCUGCAUACUGAAACAAGGUGGGAAUAGGAUGCGCUGUCCCUCUUGUGGGACACAACUUGAUGUCUGGCAAUCCACCUGGUGAGGGGACCAGCUCUCUUGUCUGAUGCUGGUGGGCUCAGCACCUGGUGGCAAGGAUUCAGGUUGCAGGCAAUGACUCCGGGUGUGGGGAGGCACAGAAAGGUCACUUCAAUUGUCUGUUGAGUAACUUAUUGUGAUUGUCCCCUGUCCUUGGCAGGAUGGUUUGUAUCUUGGUAGGGUAAAGCCAUCAAGGCAAGAUCUGGUUAGAAGGGAACUCUAUCAAUGGUGUUUGUAAACCAUCUAUCAUGCAAUUAAGAUUCCAAAAUGAUGACCCUGUUCUUUUUACUCUUUGAGACUCCAUAAGCAAGCAGAAGGUUGUUGGAGAUUUACAUGUAUGUCUACAAGGAUACUGGAUUGCAGAGUAUAAAUCCCUGCGGGGGAUGUCAAUUAUUUGGAGCACAAACUCAUCCAAAAGAAAGAGCUUCGUGAUUCAAUUGACUUUGCUUGUUUAAUCUGCAACCAAAACAACUUGACAUGAAGUCUUUAUCCGAAAACAGGGGGACGAAAUCCUGUAAAUUCCAUUAUGAAUCCUCCCCACAUCUGCAGCC